UGGCAUUUGCAUUUGCAUUUUGGCAAGGAAGAUGUGACGCAGUGAAGGAACAUCAUCCUCUUUUCCUACUUUAUUUAGGUACGCUAACAUCCAUUUUCCUUGGUUAGCCAUGACGUUUUCUUCUCAUGCCAUGCCCUUUCUGUUUCUCCUUUUACCAUUUUCACUCUCCUUUUCUUUUUUUAUCUUUUCCCUCUUCUCAUCCUCCGGUUUCCCUCAU
RNAcentral lists this long non-coding RNA (217 nucleotides) under Manihot esculenta (cassava). Its description in RNAcentral is "long non-coding RNA (MESC_LNC002722)". Lineage: Eukaryota; Viridiplantae; Streptophyta; Magnoliopsida; Malpighiales; Euphorbiaceae. The record is from RNAcentral.